This is a long non-coding RNA of Pongo pygmaeus (Bornean orangutan), 10230 nucleotides long. RefSeq lists it as uncharacterized. NCBI's taxonomy places the organism in Eukaryota, Metazoa, Chordata, Mammalia, Primates, Hominidae. The record is from RefSeq and is a predicted model, not a curated record. The transcript is spliced from 2 exons.
UAAUUUUCUAAAAAUGAACAAGUGUUAUUGAUACAGUAUCCAAAUUGCUAUAUUCUAAUUUCAAUAAUAUGAAACCAUUAGAAUUUUAAGUAUAGACAUAAAGUUACUAAUUUGAAUAGCAGAUUUUAUAAACACAUUUUUUUCAUGCUACUCCACUUAAUAAUGGGAUACAUUUGCAUGGAAUACUAAUCAAAAAAUACUUUAUUCUACUUCAUUAAUAUUUGCCAAUACUCACAAUCAGAUGAUUAUUUGAUAGAUAAGCCGAUAGACAGAUAGAUAAAUGAUAGAUAGAUAGACAGAUAGAUAGAUAGAUAGAUAGAUAGACAGAUAGGUAGUCAAGUCAGUCUGGCUCAACUCUUUCUUGACCAUUUUACAGGAGAUGAAACAGAUUUUGAGAGGUAAAUUGUACAAGGUCCUUCAAUUAAAAAGUGGCAAUAUCGAAGUUCAAACUUUAGUCUUCCUGGUAUCAAAAUGCAUUUCAUCCACUCUAGAUUCUGCCUUUCUUAGCUAAAUUCAUCCUCACCAAAACACCAUGAAGUAGAUAGUGGAGUUGGCAGCUGUUCAUUUACUCUUGAGAAAUAGAUCUUUGAGAUAUUAAAUAAUUUGCUUAGGAUUUCAUAGCUGAUGAGUGGUAUAAUAAUAUCUCAAAUCUUCUGGUUUUUAAUUUAUACUUUUUCCAUAACCUAUGCAACCCAUGACCACCAUUUAGUUUUUACUGAUAUUAACAUAGAGUAUUUUAUCCCAGGCAAUAAAAUUUUAACUAUGUAUACUGAAUGCAUAUUUUAAAUAUUAAGUUAAGUAUGUAACUUGCCCUAUGCCAUAUUUCUUUAAUCAGGGGACUGAGCAUCACAUUUAGAUUUGUUGAGUUUGGGAAAAGUUCUCAAACAUCCAGACCCAUGGACCUUAAGAAUUACUGCAGAAAUCUCCUUCAAUAUAGUCAUAGGGAGCAUUAAUGCUUUUGUGGUACUAAACAUAUUUUUGAGCUUAGAUACAAAUCCUACUUUUCCUGAACUGAUAGGGUAGGAAUUGUUUAGGUGCUUCAAAUCCAGAUCUUUCAGGGGUUGCCACCUAAACUCAUCUUUAUGAGUAACUCUAGAUAAUAAUACACUUUGGUAUCUUCCAAAGUGCUUAUCUAUGCAUGGAAAAGUUCAGUAAUUAUCAUGAGGACUGUUUGUAGUUUAGUUCUUUUUGAAUUUUAGUGAAUAGAAAUAUCAUUCAUGCCUUAACACAUGAGGGAAAUCCCUUAAAGGUAACUACUCAUUAUCCUUUGGGUUAAUCCAUUUUCAUGUCCAAAAAAUGGACUAUCAUUUCCACAGGCUCAUGCAAAAGAACAAGCACAGGUGUAGUGAAUUUAUCCUUCUCUUUAUGUGGCCUGAAAAUUUCACCCUGUAGUCACUUCAUCAAAAUAUCUUUACUCCUUUCAUCAUAAUCUAUUUCCAAAAAGAAGGAGCAAAAGGCAUUGUUAAUUUUUAAAUGUGGAACUAUGAAAUAAAUAAUAGUUCACACAAUAAUUCAUAAAAUAUGAAUGGUACUCUUUUAAAAAAGUCCCAGAACCCCUUCCUGUGUUUCUCUUAAAAAAAAAAAUACGAUUACAUCUUUGUUGUUACAAGAGUGUUUAUCACCUUUACAACUACUGGGCUUCAUUUUCGACUAAAGAGAUCUAUAUUCUAAACCUAUCAGUAAUACCUAUGCUAUAACAAGCUCUUAUCAAUGCUCAUAUAGUUCCUGUCUCCUGGAGCAUGCAAUUUUAGAUUCAUUUUGCUUUUAUUAAAUUGAUCUCACUUCCUCCAACAUUUUUAUUUCAUUAGCGUAAAACAAAAUGGAGCUUAAUGAUUCCUUAAGGCUGAAAUAAAGGACAAAAUAUUUUGUUGGCAAAAAGUAGUUGGUAAUAAUGCUAAAAUAUUUUCAGAUACAACUAAAAUAGAGUUGACUAGAAAAAAGAGAAACAUAAUUUGGAUAUGAACAUUAAUUUAAAAAUGCAAACAUUUUGAAAUGUUAGUACAACACAAUUUUAUUUCUGAAUGAGAAUGGUUAUUUGUCCUCAUGUCUUCAUCAUUUAAAUGAAUAAACUUUGUUUUUCUUAUCAUGGAUCAACUAAUUGCAUUGAAGUUUUUCCACAUAAAAUAGAAAUAGUUAUCUCUCAGACAUUAACUUUGUAAGAAGCCUGCUGCCAUUGAGCACUGAUAUAGUCAUUUAUUUUGGAAGAGCUGCAUUCUGACUAUGAGAAAAUACUUCUCCAAAAUCAAUUUGCUUUAAAGUUUGGGAAGUGGCCAUUCUUUUAUACGAUACUCUUCCUCCCACUUCAAAAUAUUUACUGUAAAAAUAUACACAAAAUGUGAGAACCAAAAUAUUUUAAAAACUUGAACAGUUUGGAGGUAACCAAGACAUAUAUUCUAAAAUAUUAUGAGGGUAGGUGAAUAAAUAAAGGCUUCUAUUUAAAAAUAUGGAAGGCAGUCAAGUAAACAAAGAAAGAAAAAGAACAAAGUGGGGAAAUAAUACGGGUUUCUGUGAUUGUCAUUGCUCAGAAUAUGAGGAUCUGUUUGGAAAAGGAAAAUAAAGCAUAUUGACUUAUUAGUUCACUUCUAAAAAUACAUACUACUUAAAGCAAGGCAAUUAUAUAAUUUAAAAAAUAGAUACAUAUGCAUAUUACUAAAAUAUAUACAUAUAUAAUAUAAAAUUACAUAUAUACUUAUAUACAAAUCAAAACCAUCAGUGCAAUAAUUCCUUUGCUUUUUAGAAACAAUCACUAUCAUAUGCAAUUAAUUUCAAGUUUGAAUACAGUAUAUUGAUAGACACUACAGUUAUUUCUAGAAUGAAGUCAUUAUUUUAUGUUGGUAACGUGGUUUGGCUUAACGUAGUUAAAUUUAAAUGUAACUAAAUAUACUUAAGAAUUAAUUUAAAAUUUUAGAUUUGAAAGUAUCUGAAAUUGUCUAAUAUGGUCAAAGUCUAGACAUUACUUCUUUGCAUUUGCAUUUUACAUUUUUUUCUUUUUGACUUAUCUGUUUUGAAGUGGAUUUCUACUAAAUUUCUGUACUGCAUUUUAUAUGGUGUUGCUGGAAACUAUGUAUUGAUUUUUUUCCUAUGGCUUCUGUGGUAGAGGAACUAAUGUGCAACUGACCUUGUAAAUGAUAUUCAACAACUCUAGAGGGAAGACACAUCUCCAGUUAAAAAUGAAGGGUGCACAUGGGUUACUCAACAUGUGAGUCAUCAAGAAAUGCAAUACUGUGCAAUGACUGGUGAAUCACAGUCUCUAAAGGAAGCUUUUUGAGAUUUUUACACAGAUGGCUAUGCAAAGCAUAAAUAAGUGUGAGGAGGAAGGGAAAAGAAAGGAGGGAAAAAAUAAAUGUGUGGGAGGACAGGCAACUGCAACUUUCAUUGUUCUUUAUUUUCUUGACCAUUGAACUAACUACUUAGAUAAACCCUACAACUCUUCUCUUCAAUUGCCAUUACAUGUCCACAUAGCCUUUUAAAAACUCUAAAUUUCACCUCAUUCAAUUUAGAAUUUUUUUUUUAACUUUACACCUUGUAAGUGAUUUGGGGAAUGAGUUUCUGUGUUGUUUACAUAAUGCUCUCGUCUAUGCUGUGAUAGGUUGCGUGACAGCAGGAACCCCACGCCUUACAGUCUACAAAGACCCAGUACAGGAUAGACAGUAGAGGGGAGGAAGGAAGGCCUCCCAAAGUUAUUUUUACACCUUUAUAAUUUAUUCCAAUAACUUUUUAAACUCUGUCUCUUGCUUCUCCACCUUCACUUGUCACAAUUCAAAUCAAGUUGAAAAUAUUUUAAAAUAAGAAACUGAUUGGCUGGGUGCAGUGGCUUACACCUUAAUUCUGGCACUUUGGGAGGGUGAAACAGGAGGAUUCCUUGAGCCCAGGAGUUCAAGACCAGCCUGGACAACAUAGGGAGAACCUAUCUCUACAAAAAAAUUAAAAAAUUAGCUGGGCGUCAUGCCAUGCGCUUGUGGUCUCAGCUACUUGGGAGACUGAGGCCAGAUAAUUGCUUGAGUCAGGGAGGUCAAGGCUGCAAUGAGCUGUGGUCACACCAUUGCACUUCAGCCUGGGAAACAGAGUGAGCUCCUGUUUCAAAACAUAAAUAAAUAAAUAAAUAAAUAAAUAAAUAAAUAAAUAAGAAGCUGAUUAACUUUUACUGUAGCCCAUACAGUAGAUGUAUCACUGACCAUGUUAAAUAUAUACAACUCAAAUAACUUUGUGUUGCAAUUGUCUAGACAUUCUGCUACCCAUAGAGUCAGGUCCACACUCCCUACCAUGGUAUUAAAAAUUUUUCAUAUUCUGAGCCCAGAAGAUUUAGCAGCUUCAAACAUCCUUCUUCUCCCUCUACUCACUUUGUUUUUCAGUGACACCUGUCUAAUAUUUAUGUGCUUUUUUUCUAACAUAUGAAUUGUUAUACCAAGUUGCCCCCCUUAAUAACCCUUUUUUUCUCACAUGCCUUGUCUGUUUCUCUUCACAGAUAAUGUCUACUCAUCUCUUUGGUAGAUAAGAACUAUUCAAACCUUUCCAGAGUGUUUUCGGGGACUUAAUAUUUAAAGAUAAGAUACCAUAAAAACAGAAAAAAGAUUUAGGGGUUAUCUAGCCCAAUCUUUUCAUUUUGUGGCUAAGGAAACUGAAGCACAAAGAAAGAAUACUGCCCAAAGUUAUACAGUAAUAAAUUAUACAAUCAUGACUAACUAUCUAUGACUUGCCAGUCUCUAUAGCAGUGAUCACAUGAGCCUUUGAUUCAGAUGGUUCUGGCCUUAACCUUGGGAACUUCUGGACGUUACCUCAUGUAACCUUUCUGAAUCUAAAUUAAACUUGGGAAUAAAAAUAUCCAGAAUAGUGAUUUGUCUUCCCUGAUUACCACUUCAGUCAUUUAGUCUACCCACAACAUGUUCUUACUUUCCGAGAUAACUGGAAGCUACCGUAACAGCAGAAGAUAGUAAUUAGAACACAGACUGUGGAAGUAUACAUAUAUAAAUGUAUUUUUUUUUUCAAAUUCAAAUCUUAAGCCCACUACUUACCACCUUGGUACUCUGGGCAAAUGAGUUAAAUGUGUGUCAAUUUCCUCAUUGGUAAACUGAGAAUAAUUAAUUUGUUUAAUGCAUUCAAACAUAUUUAUUCAGAGAAUUCUAUUCUAGGCUAUAAGGAUUUAGUUGUAAACCAUACAAAUAAAAUACCCGUUGCAAUGGAGCUUCCAUUCUGGUAGUAGAGGACACAUAAUAAACUGACAGACUAAUGAUACCCGUCUUCUCCUACCUGCACAGUGCAUGUGCAUGUGCUGUCUCCUUCCUGGAAUUUUCUUCCCACAGAAGUCUAAAGAGUUAGCUCCCUCUCACCAUUCAAAUUCUUGUUUAAAAGUCACCUUCACUGGUUACCUACUUUAAAUUUAAAUCCCACCCUCAUCACGGUUCAUAUUCCCUUUCCUGUUCUGUUAGUUUUCAAGUGUUAGUCCUAUUUUUUUCUAAUACACCACGUCUUUUACCUAUUUAUCUUUAUGUUUCAUCUUUCUCACUAAAAUGUAAACUGCAUGAGCACAGGGACAUUUUUCUAUUUUGCCGUCUGCCAUAUCCCAAGAUCUUAGAACAGUGCCUGGUAUGUAUCAGGUGUUUGUUACCUAUUUACUAAAGGACUGAAUUAGUAUCUAAUGUAAUAUUCUAUGGUGAUAUUUGCAAUUAAGCAAAACAAACAACAAACAAACAAAAAACCACAGUAAGUUGAUAGAGUAAGUAAGGUACUAUUAUUGAUUGGGUGGUGAGGGAAGGCCUCCCUGAGAGGGUAACUUUUGACUAGAGACAUGAAUGAAGUGAGAAACAUGAGUCAUGGUUCCAACUAAUGGUCAAGCGUUCUAGACAGAGACAACAGCAUGCACAAAGGCCCUGAGGCUAUUUCAUAUUUAGCAUGCUCUGCAAAUGGAAAAGAAGCAUUUGUGACAAGAGAAGAGUGAGUGAAAAGAAGAUGGGAAACAAAAUGCGAGAAACAGUUCAGACCAUUCAUAUAAGCGGUGGUGAGGACUUUAGAUUUAAUCAUGUGACUGCCUACCAAGAUGUAGUGUUGAGAGGUAUUGAAGAGAAAGCAUGUAUAAUUCUGUUCUCAAGCUGCUAAUAAAGACAUACCUGAGAUUGGGUAAUUUAUAAAGGAAAGAGGUUUAAUGGACUCACAGUUCCACAUGGUUGGGGAGGCUGCACAUCAUGAUUAUGAUGGAAGAUGAAGAAAGAGCAAAGGGACGUCUUACAUGGUAGGAGGCAAGACAGCUUGUGCAGGGGAACUCCCGUUUAUAAAACCAUCAGAUCUCGUGAGACUUAUUCACUAGCAUGAGAACAGUACAGAGAAAACAGCCUACAUGAUUCAAUUAUCUCCACCUGACUCUGCCCUUGACACCUGGGGAUUAUUACAAUUCAAAGGUGGAUAUGGGUGGGGACACAGCCAAACCAUAUCAGAGCACUUAGCAGAAUAGCAGGCAUGUACACAAAUAUUCAAUGCAAGUUAUUUAUUACUAUGGACUGAUUCACAGUUAUAAGUUACAAACAAGGACAACGAAAAGAGAAGUGAACACUUAAUUUCAUUCCCUAUGUAUAUACUUGAUGUCAACAAUGCAAAACACACAGACAGAAGGCAACUUAGGUUUGAAAGGGAUGUGUGUAAAGCUUUACUGAAGAAAGUAUGUAAAGACUAAUAAAAAGAUGGAUUGGGCCCGGCUGAGGCAGGAGAAUGGCGUGAAUCCGGGAGGCGGAGCUUGCAGUGAGCCGAGAUAGCACCACUACACUCCAGAGCUGGACAACAGAGUGAGACCCUAUCUCAAAAAGAAAAAAAGAAAUGGAUUGUAGUCUUAUUUUCAAAAAAUGUGCAUUACAUGUAGCAGUCACACUCAUAGAACCUGAAAUAUUUUAGUCCUAAUCUGUGUUAUCGAUUUUUCUGCACUUACACUCAUAAUAUAUAGCUGAAUUUUAUUAAAUAAUGAGUCAAUAGAAUAACAAUAGUAUUCAGUUCGAAGAAUUUGUUUAUUUCAAGCUACUGUUUGUUCUCAUAAACACUCCAAAAUAUUACCAGACAGUUCAUUUCACCCCUUUAAAAUGUCUUCCCUUGGAGGAAAUGAUCCAGUAUUGUUGAUUACCUCAAUCUAAAUUUUAUAUAUAUUUAUAAUUAUUCUAAGUCAGAAAGUGAAAGGUAACUUUUAAAAGAUUAUGCUUUAUUAUAUGCCUUAUCAAUGAAGACUUUUUUUAUUCAUUAUGAUUUUCUACAUUCAGCACAUUCUCUGGAAUUUUCAAUAAACAUGAUGACAUUUCUGAAGAGAAAAUUUUUAAAUCACCAAGUAACUCAUUGUGAAGGUGGCUAUCAUUUCAAUGUAACACCAAAGUGUCUUCUUUCAACCUUACCUGAGAAAGAGGAAAGUGUUUUCAUACACAAAAAUAAAACAAAAUCCGAGUUUUUGAGGAUUUUUAAAACUAGAAGCCAUGCUUAUACUUUGUUAUUUAGUUCAAUUCUUUAUGUAAGAGUAAGCAUCUAGCACACUUAGCAGAUUUUGUCAUAUUAAAAAGCAUGUGCUAUAUUUAGUUCCAAAAGGAGUUAUAGAAAUUGAUUGAAAAAAUUCACAUGAAGUUGGUAGAAUAUAUAGGCUUUUAAUUAUUUUACUUGUCUAAAGGGUACAUCAAUUAGACAGACUGCCUACUAUACAUCAUAAAUUAAUCCCAUUCAUUCUAAAAACUUGUUCAUUUUUUCACAACUUUGAAAUUUGGUUGUCCUAAUUAAUCGCUGUUGUAUAAUUCAGGCACUUGAGCCUCUGCAAGGGCUGCGUUUUUCCAGCUUGUAAUCACACAUUCAACAAACAGCCAAGUGCUGCAGACAAUGGGUCCUUCACGCUCCUCUGAGACAGACUAUCUGUCUCUGAUUUAUGGGCUGAGUCCUUCUUGAGAGAAAUGCCUGGGUGGGGACAAUGCACAGCCUCAGGCAGAUUACUUGCCUUGGUUUUUGGCCAUAUCACCUGAAAGCUGUCACUUGAGCACGGGCAAAGAGCUAAGAGGCCCCUUGGAAUAUUCCCUAAAAGAAACAAAUCCACCGCAGGAUCAGCCUCUUCAGGUUACAUCUGCUUUUUAAAAUCCCAGUGCUGAGAAGUGCGCUGUACCCAGAGGCUCUGAUUCUGCAUUUCCUCACGGAAGGCAAAAGAACCUGCAGCGAAGGACCCUGGUGGAUGUGAAUGAACACUGCCAACUCAGGCCUUCCCAGCUCAUUAGACGCAGCAAAAAGGGUCAGCCCUUGCCAUCCUGAAAUUUGCUGUCAGAGUUCUUGGACUACAACAUGACUGUUCCCUGCUUCAAACAAACGGAAAAUGAUUCUUAACUUAGGCUAUUCUUAAUUUAAAUGAAUACAUUUUAAAUGAAAUGAAUUUAAAAUGAAAAAAAAGUAUUCUAUCUGACCUUUCCUAUUUUCCUUUUAUUUUAUAUAAUGAUGCAGAGAAAUUACUUACAGUGAGUGUUUAAUAAAGCAAACAUAGAAAGCAAAAACAAAACAAAACCAAAAAAAAUGUCACCUAGAACUUCAUUGAUUUUGGGGAAAUCUACUGCCUAAAUCAUCUCAGCAAGAAAUCCUAGAGAAAAAGGCAACACAUUAUUCUGCUCAUUGAUUCUUCUGGUAAUUGCAGUGGCACGAAGAGGGCCAUGACUCUGCCACAUAUGCCAACAUGGAUCCAGGACCUGUUCUGAUGUGUGACAAUGCACACGGAUUUUGUAGAGAGAAUUGCAGACCUCAGAAAUGAGCUUUGUGCCUGGACAGACAAGAAUUUAGAAAAUUUCUGUUGUAUGGAAUUCCCACUUCUCAUUUUCUAUUGUUCUGUAGACUUAGCAUAAUUUUACUUUUUUAAGAGUCUAAUUAUUUACAUAUUAAUGUAUAUAGGUUGGGUCGGAGGUAGGAGACAAGACAGAAAAGCAUAAAUAACUCUCAAAGUGAUAUAAUUGUUAACAAAUUACCUUAAUAUCUAUAUUAAUAUGAAAUGUUGGUAAAUAUCACAUAAUAUAAGUAUCUCACAUGGAUCCAAGAUGAUUUGAAUUUUUUUACAUUUUUUAAAGAUAUCAAUUAAUUAAUGGGAAGAUAUAUUGAAAAAAUACUAUUUUAAGGUCUGAUGUAUAUUUCUGCAAGGCAAAUUUUGGCUCUGUCUUCAAGUCUUGGUUUACCAUUUGCCAUUUCAAAUAUUGAAAAAUAAGCGAUUUAUUUGAAGAAGAGAAGGAAGAGGAAGGGAGAAAAAAUAUCGAGAAGUUUAAGAACCAGCCUUGGAAAGGCUAAUAUCCAGAAUCUACAAAGAACUCAAACAAAUUUGCAAGAAAAAAACAACCCCAUCAAAAAGUGGGCAAAGGAUGUGAACAGACACUUCUCAGAAGAAGACAUUUAUGCAGCCAAGAGACACAUGAAAAAAUGCUCAUCAUCACUGGCCAUCAGAGAAAUGCAGAUCAAAACCACAAUGAGAUAACAUCUCACACCAGUUAGAAUGGUGAUCAUUAAAAGGUCAGGAAACAACAGGUGCUGGAGAGAAUGCGGAGAAAUGGGAACACUUUUACACUGUUGGUGGGACUGUAAACUGGUGCAACCAUUGUGGAAGACAGUGUGGUGAUUCCUCAGGGAUCUAGAACUAGAAAUACCAUUUGACCCAGCCAUCCCAUUACUGGGUAUAUACCCAAAGGAUUAUAAAUCAUGCUGCUAUAAAGACAUAUGCACACAUAUGUUUAUUGUGACACUAUUCACAAUAGCAAAGACUUGGAACCAACCCAAAUGUCCAACAAUGAUAGACUGGAUUAAGAAAAUGUGGCACAUAUACACUAUGGAAUACUAUGCAGCCAUAAAAAAUGAUGAGUUCAUGUCCUUUGUAGGGACAUGGAUGAAGCUGGAAACCAUCAUUCUCAGCAAACUAUCCCAAGGACAAAAAACCAAACACCGCAUGUUCUCACUCAUAGGUGGGAAUUGAACAAUGAGAACACUUGGACACAGGAAGGGGAACAUCACACACUGGUGCCUGUUGUGGGAUGGGAGGUGGGGAGGGAUAGCAUUAGGAGAUAUACCUAAUGUAAAUGAUGAGUUAAUGGGUGCAGCACACCAGCAUGGCACAUGUAUACAUAUGUAACUAACCUGCACAUUGUGCACAUGCACCCUAGAACUUAAAGUGUAAUAAAAAUAUAUUAAAAAAAGAGAAAAAAGAAAAACAAGAAAAAAAAAGAAAAUUGCUAAAUUUCCAAUAAAAGUAGAGCCUUUAGUUUC